RNAcentral lists this long non-coding RNA (342 nucleotides) under Fukomys damarensis (Damara mole-rat). RNAcentral's name for it is "lncRNA (ENSFDAG00000029541.1)". Lineage: Eukaryota; Metazoa; Chordata; Mammalia; Rodentia; Bathyergidae. The record is from RNAcentral.
AAAGACUGCUGCAGUGGAGGGCUUCAGUGGUUUUUUCCCUCUCUGCAGGCAUUUCCCACGGAGUGGGCUCUGGCUGUUCCAGUUCUCUACUACCUGACCGCUGUGUAGGGAUGCAAGGCUUAAGUUUCUUAGAUCUCUGGACCUCUGGGAAAUAAAGGAAGCCCUUUGGCAGACUCAGGUGUUCACGGUUCCUGCAUCUGCUUCAAAGCUUCUUUCCAGAGGAAUGAUGGCGUCAUGCUUCUGUCCGGUCUUCAGCCUUGAGAUCCACCUUCUGCAGCUCAAGACAAGGUAAGGUAUGGGUCCAUGGAAAGGGAACAUUCCAUCUCAUAAAGGCAUUGCUGA